This 433-nucleotide ribosomal RNA is filed under the name uncultured bacterium. Its description in RNAcentral is "partial 16S ribosomal RNA". It matches the Rfam family "Bacterial small subunit ribosomal RNA", at positions 29 to 507 of the family's 1533-position model. The record is from RNAcentral.
AGCGAACGCUGGCGGCAGGCCUAACACAUGCAAGUCGAACGGACCCUUCGGGGUUAGUGGCGGACGGGCGAGUAACACGUGGGAACGUGCCUUUAGGUUCGGAAUAGCUCCUGGAAACGGGUGGUAAUGCCGAAUGUGCCCUUCGGGGGAAAGAUUUAUCGCCUUUAGAGCGGCCCGCGUCUGAUUAGCUAGUUGGUGAGGUAACGGCUCACCAAGGCGACGAUCAGUAGCUGGUCUGAGAGGAUGACCAGCCACACUGGGACUGAGACACGGCCCAGACUCCUACGGGAGGCAGCAGUGGGGAAUCUUGCGCAAUGGGCGAAAGCCUGACGCAGCCAUGCCGCGUGAAUGAUGAAGGUCUUAGGAUUGUAAAAUUCUUUCACCGGGGACGAUAAUGACGGUACCCGGAGAAGAAGCCCCGGCUAACUUCGUG